GGGUCAGUAGAUUGGUCAUGCCUCCGGUAUGCACUGGUCUUACUGGCUCCUCCUUCCUGAUGAACCGUAAUGCCAUUAAUUUGGUGUUGCGGGGAGACUGGACUGUUACUUUGAAAAAAUUAGAGUGUUUAAAGCAGGCAAGCGCUUGAAUACAUUAGCAUGGAAUAAUGAAAUAGGACG
This 180-nucleotide ribosomal RNA is filed under the name uncultured Glomeromycotina. Its description in RNAcentral is "partial small subunit ribosomal RNA". Lineage: Eukaryota; Fungi; Glomeromycota. The record is from RNAcentral.